GCUUGUAUGGUAUAGUGGUUAGCAUGUCUGCUUGGAAAAGUUAUGUGAUAUUGAUGAAAAUCUUUUUAAGAUCUUGGGUUCAAUUCCCGGGUCAGCCG
Armillaria borealis is the source of this 98-nucleotide non-coding RNA. Lineage: Eukaryota; Fungi; Basidiomycota; Agaricomycetes; Agaricales; Physalacriaceae. The record is from the annotation of a GenBank genome assembly.